UACGUAGGGGGCAAGCGUUGUCCGGAAUUAUUGGGCGUAAAGAGCGCGUAGGCGGUCCGAUAAGUCGGCUGUGAAAGUCAGGGGCUCAACCCUUGAAAGCCGGCCGAUACUGUCGGACUAGAGUCCGGAAGAGGCAAGUGGAAUUCCCGGUGUAGCGGUGAAAUGCGCAGAUAUCGGGAGGAACACCAAUGGCGAAGGCAGCUUGCUGAGACGGUACUGACGCUGAGGCGCGAAAGCGUGGGGAGCAAACAGG
RNAcentral lists this ribosomal RNA (253 nucleotides) under uncultured bacterium. RNAcentral describes it as "partial 16S ribosomal RNA". It matches the Rfam family "Bacterial small subunit ribosomal RNA", at positions 524 to 776 of the family's 1533-position model. The record is from RNAcentral.